CCCCAGAAUUUCUCCAAGCUCUGCCCUCAGCUAACCUCCUCUCCAACUCCCGUGCAUUCUCCUUAGUCAAAACACCCCAUCUAAUCCGCGGUUGUCCCCGAGCACCACUCCUUUUCCUCUUAACCCAGAGACUGACGUCCAUCACUAAGAGUCUAUGAAGAGUCGAAAGUGACUCUCCCGAGAUAACCUUGCAGUCCUUGCACAUACCCCUAUCGCUCCUUCUGAGGAGGAGGUAAUCAAUCUGNN
This 246-nucleotide long non-coding RNA is filed under the name Nicotiana benthamiana. RNAcentral describes it as "long non-coding RNA (NBEN_LNC020217)". The record is from RNAcentral. Lineage: Eukaryota; Viridiplantae; Streptophyta; Magnoliopsida; Solanales; Solanaceae.